Molecule: non-coding RNA, 233 nt
Rfam family: Eukaryotic large subunit ribosomal RNA
GCCCCGCACGUCGUAGUUGGAUACGAAUAGGCCUCCGGGCCCAGAACCUCAGCAGGCCGGCGACGGUGUCCGGGGAGAGACCCCCGGGCGCCAGCCGGCGGAUUGCAAUGUCACCACGCGCGGGGAUAGAUCCUCUGCAGACGACUGAAAUGACCAAGCGGGUCGUGUAAGCGGUCAAGUAGCCUUGUUGUUACGAGUCGCUGAGCGUCAGCCCGAUCCUUGGCUCGAUUUGU